This 1064-nucleotide long non-coding RNA is filed under the name Olea europaea subsp. europaea. Lineage: Eukaryota; Viridiplantae; Streptophyta; Magnoliopsida; Lamiales; Oleaceae. The record is from RNAcentral.
AACCAUAGAAACAAUUGAGAAGGCUCAAGAAAAGAAAUUUAAUCCAAGUUUAAAGGAUGAAUCAGCGUUAGUGGUGGUCCUGCCUGAACAGUUAGAUUGUGAAGAUGAUUGGAUUGAUGACUUGGAAGAAGAUUAUUGGAUCAAUGACUCAGAAGAGGACAUCGUGUUUCACAAAGAGUCUUCAGGGCGGACUUCGCAGAGGGAGGAACUAUUAGAAUUAGAAGAAGUGUUUGAAGAAAUGCAAACACUGCAGAGGGUGAAUCUGCUAGAGUAGAUACCGCAGAUGAUAGAUCUGCUGGAUUAAACACCGCAGAGGGUGGAACUGCUAGAUUUGAAAGAAACAAAAGAAAAAUUGUUAGAGAAAAUUGUGGAAGCACAACGAAGUCUCGAGGAAUCCGAAGAUCUAAAGAUAUCAAGUGAUAAAGAAGAGUUGAUUAGCAUAAUACAGAGUUAUGCACAAAAUGACAUUAAUUGGGAAAUACAAGUGAAUGAAUAUAUUUGAAGCAGCAAAUGCAUUAAGUGAAGAACAGAGCGCUUCGAAAUUCGUCAAGGUAAAGUUGGACGAGAAGAAGAAGAAAAAGGUUAAAAUGAAAAGUUGGUGCUGAAGGGGAGAAUUGAAGAAAUCAUCAUCAACUUUAAAUAUCUAGAAUUUGCUAGACUAAGCAUGUAGAAUAUUCUAGAGACUCAUUGGAAAUAAAGACCAUUACCAUUCAUGAAAAAUCUAGAGAAUAGAAUUGUGAAGACAAUGUUAGAAUUCUCUAGAAAAAUGUAGGUAGUAAACUCCACCUCCAUAAUUUGCCUAUAUAUAUGUGUGUUGGUUAAAUGUAAAUGUGUGUAUGAUGAGAGAAAGUGUAGAAAAAGAGUAUAGAGAAAGAGAGUGAAAAGAGAGUGUAGCAAGUGAUAGAGAAAAAUAUUGUGAGUGCUCCAUUUCUAAGUAAGUGAGGUUAGUGAUCUUAGUGUGUAUAAAAAAUUGUGUAAAAUUUUAUCUUAUCAAUAAAAAUUACUUUCUUUUGGUAUUUAAAUUUAACAGACACCACCUUUCUCAACACCAAAGUCGCCUGAUG